This 497-nucleotide ribosomal RNA is filed under the name uncultured bacterium. RNAcentral's name for it is "partial 16S ribosomal RNA". It matches the Rfam family "Bacterial small subunit ribosomal RNA", at positions 28 to 507 of the family's 1533-position model. The record is from RNAcentral.
GAUGAACGCUGGCGGCGUGCCUAAUACAUGCAAGUCGAGCGAACGGACGAGAAGCUUGCUUCUCUGAUGUUAGCGGCGGACGGGUGAGUAACACGUGGAUAACCUACCUAUAAGACUGGGAUAACUUCGGGAAACCGGAGCUAAUACCGGAUAAUAUUUUGAACCGCAUGGUUCAAAAGUGAAAGACGGUCUUGCUGUCACUUAUAGAUGGAUCCGCGCUGCAUUAGCUAGUUGGUAAGGUAACGGCUUACCAAGGCAACGAUGCAUAGCCGACCUGAGAGGGUGAUCGGCCACACUGGAACUGAGACACGGUCCAGACUCCUAAGGGAGGCAGCAGUAGGGAAUCUUCCGCAAUGGGCGAAAGCCUGACGGAGCAACGCCGCGUGAGCGAUGAAGGUCUUCGGAUCGUAAAACUCUGUUAUUAGGGAAGAACAUAUGUGUAAGUAACUGUGCACAUCUUGACGGUACCUAAUCAGAAAGCCACGGCUAACUACGUG